GACGAACGCUGGCGGCGUGCUUAACACAUGCAAGUCGAACGGAAAGGCCCUGCUUGCCGGGUGCUCGAGUGGCGAACGGGUGAGUAACACGUGGGUGAUCUGCCCCUUACUUUGGGAUAAGCCUGGGUAACUGGGUCUAAUACUGGAUAGGACCAUGCUGUAGGUGGUGUGGUGGAAAGAUUAGUUUCGGUAAGGGAUGAGCUCGCGGCCUAUCAGCUUGUUGGUGGGGUAAUGGCCUACCAAGGCGUCGACGGGUAGCCGGCCUGAGAGGGUGGACGGCCACAUUGGGACUGAGAGACGGCCCAGACUCCUACGGGAGGCAGCAGUGGGGAAUAUUGCACAAUGGGCGCAAGCCUGAUGCAGCGACGCCGCGUGGGGGAUGACGGCCUUCGGGUUGUAAACUCCUUUCAGCCAUGACGAAGCCCUUGUGGUGACGGUAGUGGUAGAAGAAGCACCGGCUAACUACGUG
RNAcentral lists this ribosomal RNA (469 nucleotides) under uncultured bacterium. RNAcentral describes it as "partial 16S ribosomal RNA". It matches the Rfam family "Bacterial small subunit ribosomal RNA", at positions 28 to 507 of the family's 1533-position model. The record is from RNAcentral.